RNAcentral lists this ribosomal RNA (678 nucleotides) under uncultured Alphaproteobacteria bacterium. RNAcentral describes it as "bacterial SSU rRNA". It matches the Rfam family "Bacterial small subunit ribosomal RNA", at positions 28 to 755 of the family's 1533-position model. Lineage: Bacteria; Pseudomonadati; Pseudomonadota; Alphaproteobacteria. The record is from RNAcentral.
AACGAACGCUGGCGGAUGCCUAAUACAUGCAGUCGAACGAGAUCUUCGGAUCUAGUGGCGCACGGGUGCGUAACGCGUGGGAAUCUGCCCUUGGGUUCGGAAUAACUUCUGGAAACGGAAGCUAAUACCGGAUGAUGACGUAAGUCCAAAGAUUUAUCGCCCAAGGAUGAGCCCGCGUAGGAUUAGCUAGUUGGUGAGGUAAAGGCUCACCAAGGCGACGAUCCUUAGCUGGUCUGAGAGGAUGAUCAGCCACACUGGGACUGAGACACGGCCCAGACUCCUACGGGAGGCAGCAGUAGGGAAUAUUGGACAAUGGGGGAAACCCUGAUCCAGCAAUGCCGCGUGAGUGAUGAAGGCCUUAGGGUUGUAAAGCUCUUUUACCCGGGAUGAUAAUGACAGUACCGGGAGAAUAAGCUCCGGCUAACUCCGUGCCAGCAGCCGCGGUAAUACGGAGGGAGCUAGCGUUGUUCGGAAUUACUGGGCGUAAAGCGCACGUAGGCGGCUAUUCAAGUCAGAGGUGAAAGCCCGGGGCUCAACCCCGGAACUGCCUUUGAAACUAGAUAGCUUGAAUCCAGGAGAGGUGAGUGGAAUUCCGAGUGUAGAGGUGAAUUCGUAGAUAUUCGGAAGAACACCAGUGGCGAAGGCGGCUCACUGGACUGGUAUUGACGCUGAGGUGCG